This is a long non-coding RNA of Gorilla gorilla gorilla (western lowland gorilla), 575 nucleotides long. RefSeq lists it as uncharacterized. The transcript is spliced from 4 exons. The record is from RefSeq and is a predicted model, not a curated record. NCBI's taxonomy places the organism in Eukaryota, Metazoa, Chordata, Mammalia, Primates, Hominidae.
CUGCUUUGGGUGAGUCUGGUUGAUGGAGCCAUGAUAGGGUAGAUGGUUGGAUGUCUGGAGCAGAAAGUAUUGACAACAAAUGAGCAGCUGAAGAAUAUGUAACUUUGGGACUUCAUCUUUUUAAAAAGAAGACACUGAUGAUGAAAUAGCAUGAUGAACGAAGAACUAUGAAACACACACCGUAAGAAAAGAACAAUAAAGAUGUAACAAGCAUGAUAAACAUAAGCUACGAAACACGGCGUUAUGAAACUGACAGCUUCCGCUACCUGUGUCUUAGAACAAUCGCUCUUGAAAACCAGCCACCAUGCUGUGAGGAAGACCAAAGAAUCCCAUGGGGAAGCCCACAUAGAGAAGAACUGGAAGUUCCAGACUGAAGACCUGCUGUGUUCCCAAACAAAAUGAAGCAAUUUUCUAUGGCCUAAUUAUCUCUGAUUUCUGACAAGACCAAAUUUCUGGCCUUGCAAGGCUGAGGACUAAGCCUGAAGUGUGAUGACUCAGUCACUGGGUUCUAUCCCUAAAUGGCUCCAAGAUCUCUGACGGACAUUGCAGCAUUAUAAAGCUGGGAAAUUAACACA